This 499-nucleotide ribosomal RNA is filed under the name uncultured bacterium. Its description in RNAcentral is "partial 16S ribosomal RNA". It matches the Rfam family "Bacterial small subunit ribosomal RNA", at positions 28 to 507 of the family's 1533-position model. The record is from RNAcentral.
GACGAACGCUGGCGGCGUGCCUAAUACAUGCAAGUCGAGCGGACUGAAUGGGAGCUUGCUCUUGUUCGGUCAGCGGCGGACGGGUGAGUAACACGUGGGCAACCUGCCCGCAAGACCGGGAUAACUCCGGGAAACCGGAGCUAAUACCGGAUAACACCGAAGACCGCAUGGUCUUUGGUUGAAAGGCGGCGCAAGCUGCCACUUGCGGAUGGGCCCGCGGCGCAUUAGCUAGUUGGUGAGGUAACGGCUCACCAAGGCGAAGAUGCGUAGCCGGCCUGAGAGGGGGACAGGCCAAACUGGGAAGGAGACACGGCCCAGACUCCUACGGGAGGCAGCAGUAGGGAAGCUUACGCAAUGGGCGAAAGCCUGACGGAGCGACGCCGCGUGAGCGAAGAAGGCCUUCGGGUCGUAAAGCUCUGUUGUGAGGGACGAAGGAGCGCCGUUUGAAGAAGGCGGCGCGGUGACGGUACCUCACGAGGAAGCCCCGGCUAACUACGUG